This 203-nucleotide ribosomal RNA is filed under the name uncultured bacterium. Its description in RNAcentral is "partial 16S ribosomal RNA". It matches the Rfam family "Bacterial small subunit ribosomal RNA", at positions 1300 to 1500 of the family's 1533-position model. The record is from RNAcentral.
GUAGUCUGCAACUCGACUACAUGAAGCUGGAAUCGCUAGUAAUCGCGGAUCAGAAUGCCGCGGUGAAUACGUUCCCGGGUCUUGUACACACCGCCCGUCACACCAUGGGAGUCAGUAACGCCCGAAGCCGGUGACCCAACCUAACCAGGAGGGAGCCGUCGAAGGCGGGACGGAUGACUGGGGUGAAGUCGUAACAAGGUAGC